Molecule: ribosomal RNA, 253 nt
Filed under: uncultured bacterium
Lineage: Bacteria
Description: partial 16S ribosomal RNA
Rfam family: Bacterial small subunit ribosomal RNA
Source: RNAcentral
UACGUAGGUGGCCAGCGUUGUCCGGAUUUACUGGGCGUAAAGAGCGCGCAGGCGGUCGUUCAAGUCGAGUGUGAAAGCCCCCGGCUCAACUGGGGAGGGUCAUUCGAUACUGAUCGACUUGAAGGCAGGAGAGGGAAGUGGAAUUCCCGGUGUAGUGGUGAAAUGCGUAGAUAUCGGGAGGAACACCAGUGGCGAAGGCGACUUCCUGGCCUGUUCUUGACGCUGAGGCGCGAAAGCUAGGGGAGCAAACGGG